Molecule: ribosomal RNA, 241 nt
Filed under: uncultured Staphylococcus sp.
Lineage: Bacteria; Bacillati; Bacillota; Bacilli; Caryophanales; Staphylococcaceae
Description: partial 16S ribosomal RNA
Rfam family: Bacterial small subunit ribosomal RNA
Source: RNAcentral
CGGACGGGUGAGUAACACGUGGAUAACCUACCUAUAAGACUGGGAUAACUUCGGGAAACCGGAGCUAAUACCGGAUAAUAUUUUGAACUGCAUGGUUCAAAAGUGAAAGACGGUCUUGCUGUCACUUAUAGAUGGAUCCGCGCUGCAUUAGCUAGUUGGUAAGGUAACGGCUUACCAAGGCAACGAUGCAUAGCCGACCUGAGAGGGUGAUCGGCCACACUGGAACUGAGACACGGUCCAG